Molecule: long non-coding RNA, 648 nt
Organism: Ornithodoros turicata
Lineage: Eukaryota; Metazoa; Arthropoda; Arachnida; Ixodida; Argasidae
Exons: 2
Source: RefSeq, a predicted model, not a curated record
UCGCCUUUGAUAUCGCACACGGUGAUUGCCACGAGCGUUAUGGCUCGGCGGAAGCAGUGUAAAGUUUAUCUCUUCUGCCGACCCAGCAAUGCACCUAAUUGGAUUCAACGCAUCGUACCGUUGCCUUCGAAGCAGCUUCAGCACUGGGUUGUCUACUUUAUUUUCACUGACGGGACCGUUCUGGAGUGUGAGGGACAGGAACACACUACCACUCAGAAAAUUCUCGGGAAUGCAAGGCUGACAAGUUACAACGAUGUAGAGCCUCUCCUAAAAUACAUGAAACUAUUGAAGGAUGGUGCUUGUACCUCGAAAGAAGAAAUCAGAGAAGUGGUGGACGACAUGAACAAGAAUAGCGAGAAGUAUGACACUCUCCACAACAACUGCCAGCAGUGGGUCAAAAUGCUGCUCAGAAGGCUGGAAAUACAUGUGUCUGCCAUCGAUGCAAAACAAGCCGCUGUCAUUGCAGGUGCUACAGGUUUAGGAGCCUCCGGUGCAAUUCUAGCCGUACUUGGAACUGGAGCUGUGGGUGCAGGUGCAGCUCCUGCUGUGGGUGUUGCAGCUGUUGCUACAGGCGCAGUUGCAUCUGUAGGUCUAGCAGCAACCCUUUUCAGAAGUCGAUAAUAAUAAGAAUAAAGACCUUCAGGGUGG